GCCAGUAUUCUAAUCCUGUGGGGCUCGCAGCUGCCGCACACUCAUACCAGUUUCAAUUUGRUGUUUCCAAGCUCUGGAAGAUUUCGCCACUUCUGCUAGAAGUUCUCCYAGUUGUUACCACCUGGAUGGCUUCCAGUUCAGAGGAAAAGCUGGAGAGACCGCCCUCCUUCUCUUAAGUAUGAGCUACUUCCUGACCCCAGCCUGAGCUAACCAGUUUUCCUCUAUUGGAUCCUGCCCUCAUGAUGUUCUGCCUCACCGURGACCCAGAACAAUGGAGUCAGCUGUCUAUAUAGACUUAGACCUCUGAUGCUAUGAGCCCCAAAUAAGGUUGAAAGUAACAUGAUCAAUCAAGGAUGGGAAACUCCAAAACUG
Non-coding RNA from Urocitellus parryii (Arctic ground squirrel), 372 nucleotides. The record is from RefSeq and is a predicted model, not a curated record. Lineage: Eukaryota; Metazoa; Chordata; Mammalia; Rodentia; Sciuridae.